GAUGAACGCUAGCGAUAGGCUUAACACAUGCAAGUCGAGGGGCAGCGAGGGUAGCAAUACCUGUCGGCGACCGGCGCACGGGUGAGUAACGCGUAUGUAACCUGCCCGCAACAGGGGGAUAACCCGGCGAAAGUCGGACUAAUACCGCAUAAAACAGGGGUCCCGCAUGGGAAUAUUUGUUAAAGAUUUAUCGGUUGCGGAUGGGCAUGCGUACCAUUAGGUAGUUGGUGAGGUAACGGCUCACCAAGCCCUCGAUGGUUAGGGGUUCUGAGAGGAAGGUCCCCCACACUGGUACUGAGACACGGACCAGACUCCUACGGGAGGCAGCAGUGAGGAAUAUUGGUCAAUGGGCGAGAGCCUGAACCAGCCAAGUCGCGUGAAGGAUGACUGCCCUAUGGGUUGUAAACUUCUUUUACAAGGGGAAUAAAAAUGAAGAUACGUGUAUUUAUUGCAUG
This 455-nucleotide ribosomal RNA is filed under the name Tannerella forsythia. RNAcentral's name for it is "bacterial SSU rRNA". It matches the Rfam family "Bacterial small subunit ribosomal RNA", at positions 28 to 475 of the family's 1533-position model. The record is from RNAcentral. Lineage: Bacteria; Pseudomonadati; Bacteroidota; Bacteroidia; Bacteroidales; Tannerellaceae.